AUGCGAAACGAGCUGUACCCUUGCUGCUGUGCGGAAGACGAGUUGUUGUUUGCCUGGCCAUUGUCUGGGGAAUUAUCACAUUGGUUUUCUACGUUGGGUUCUGGUAUCAGCCGAUUAACUUCUGUUCCUCCUAUAUGUCUUUCUUCUGUUGGCCAAAAAAGUAUUUCUUCAAGCAGCUGCAACGGAAACAAUAUUUUUGGGUUUCAGGAGGCAACAGUUAAAAGCAGAAUCACACCAUCUAUGGUAGUUUUCCAAGCGCAUUGCUUGUCAUUCGUUAAGCAAGAAUGUGUACAAUUAUCAUUAAAAACAUCCUCUAACUUGCCGGACAGGCAUGGCACUGAAAGGAACAUAUUUACCAACACUGUGCAAUCCUAG
RNAcentral lists this ribosomal RNA (375 nucleotides) under Triticum aestivum (bread wheat). RNAcentral's name for it is "partial small subunit ribosomal RNA". The record is from RNAcentral. Lineage: Eukaryota; Viridiplantae; Streptophyta; Magnoliopsida; Poales; Poaceae.